GACGAACGCUGGCGGCGUGCCUAAUACAUGCAAGUCGAACGCAUUUUCUUUCACCGUAGCUUGCUACACCGAAAGAAAAUGAGUGGCGAACGGGUGAGUAACACGUGGGUAACCUGCCCAUCAGCGGGGGAUAACACUUGGAAACAGGUGCUAAUACCGCAUAAUUCCAUUUACCGCAUGGUAGAUGGGUGAAAGGCGCUUUUGCGUCACUGAUGGAUGGACCCGCGGUGCAUUAGCUAGUUGGUGGGGUAACGGCCUACCAAGGCUGCGAUGCAUAGCCGACCUGAGAGGGUGAUCGGCCACACUGGGACUGAGACACGGCCCAGACUCCUACGGGAGGCAGCAGUAGGGAAUCUUCGGCAAUGGACGCAAGUCUGACCGAGCAACGCCGCGUGAGUGAAGAAGGUUUUCGGAUCGUAAAACUCUGUUGUUAGAGAAGAACAAGGAUGAGAGUGGAAAGUUCAUCCCUUGACGGUAUCUAACCGGAAAGCCACGGCUAACUACGUG
This 507-nucleotide ribosomal RNA is filed under the name uncultured bacterium. Its description in RNAcentral is "partial 16S ribosomal RNA". It matches the Rfam family "Bacterial small subunit ribosomal RNA", at positions 28 to 507 of the family's 1533-position model. The record is from RNAcentral.